RNAcentral lists this ribosomal RNA (506 nucleotides) under Juga plicifera. RNAcentral describes it as "partial large subunit ribosomal RNA". It matches the Rfam family "Bacterial large subunit ribosomal RNA", at positions 1817 to 2597 of the family's 2925-position model. Lineage: Eukaryota; Metazoa; Mollusca; Gastropoda; Semisulcospiridae. The record is from RNAcentral.
GGCUCUUUGUUUACAUAAAUAUAGGGAGUCGAGCCUGCCCAGUGAAUUUUUAAACGGCCGCGGUACUCUGACCGUGCAAAGGUAGCAUAAUCAUUUGCCUUAUAAUUGAAGGCUAGUAUGAAUGGUUUGACGAGAGCAACACUGUCUCCUUUUUAUUUUCAAGAACUUAACUUUUAGGUGAAGAGGCCUAAAUUUUAUUGAAGGACAAGAAGACCCUAUCGAGCUUAAAAGACAUUAUAGAAGUUUAUAUAUUUCUAAAUAAAUUUUCUAUUGAGCUUUUUAGUUGGGGCGACUAAGGAACAAAAAAAGCUUUUUGCUGAUAAUAGACAGUCAUGUUUAGAUCCGAUAAUAAUCGAUCAAAGAAAUUAGUUACCGUAGGGAUAACAGCAUAAUCUCUCUUGAGAGACCUAAUCGAAAGAGGGGGUUGUGACCUCGAUGUUGGACUAGAAUAUCCUAAAGAUGUAGAAGUCUUUGAAAGGUCGGUCUGUUCGACCGUUUAAAAUUCU